Long non-coding RNA from Gossypium raimondii (Peruvian cotton), 622 nucleotides. RefSeq lists it as uncharacterized. The transcript is spliced from 2 exons. The record is from RefSeq and is a predicted model, not a curated record. NCBI's taxonomy places the organism in Eukaryota, Viridiplantae, Streptophyta, Magnoliopsida, Malvales, Malvaceae.
GCCACCUUUUUUAAAAAAAUUUUAAAACCCCUCUAUUCUCUCAAAAAUGGCCGGCCUUUGAGUUGCCAUAGCGCCGCCAUAGCGCUCGCCACACCGCCACCGCCUCCGACGGCCGACGAAGCGCCAGAUCGGCGUUCAAAGCCCUAUCCCAGUGGCUGAGGCGGCAAGUGGGCGACGUUGGUGGCGGUGGUAGAGGGCAGGUGAGCGGCGAUGGGACAGUGGCGGCGCGGCGCCAGAAGACCAAGGGUCUAAAGACCCUAGGUGCGGCGCUAGGCUAGGGUUAGGGGGAGUAGGUUUUUUUUAGGGUUUGGGCUGAUUGGGUUUGUCGGUUAUUUGGGCCUGGUUCUGUUUGGGCUUUGGGUGUUGUAAUUGGGCCAUUCGGAUUUGGGUUUAGUCUAGGUGGGUUAAUUUGGAAUUGGGCUGAGGUUUUGGGGUUAUUUUGUAAUUGGGUUGGGUAGCUGGGGGUUAAUUGUAAUUGUUUUUGUUUGGGUUAAGGGUUAGUUGGGCCCGGGCAUGAAAAUUGGGCUUGUACAGGAGUGAACAAUCAUCACCAAACAAUAACUUUUGCAUUUGCAAUAUUGUCAUAUGAGAAGCAUGAUAGUUUUCUUUGGGUUCUGAAUAA